UAAGACGGCCAUAGUGGUUGGGAAACGCCUGUUCUCAUUCCGAACACAGAAGCUAAGCCUUCCACGUUGUUACCUGUACUGUCCCGCAAGAUGGGAAAGUAAUAAGCUGUCUUGU
RNAcentral lists this ribosomal RNA (115 nucleotides) under Nanobdellota archaeon. Lineage: Archaea; Nanobdellati; Nanobdellota. The record is from RNAcentral.